UGAGGAAUAUUGGUCAAUGGACGCAAGUCUGAACCAGCCAUGCCGCGUGCAGGAAGACGGCUCUAUGAGUUGUAAACUGCUUUUGUACGAGGGUAAACUCACCUACGUGUAGGUGACUGAAAGUAUCGUACGAAUAAGGAUCGGCUAACUCCGUGCCAGCAGCCGCGGUAAUACGGAGGAUUCAAGCGUUAUCCGGAUUUAUUGGGUUUAAAGGGUGCGUAGGCGGUUUGAUAAGUUAGAGGUGAAAUUUCGGGGCUCAACCCUGAACGUGCCUCUAAUACUGUUGAGCUAGAGAGUAGUUGCGGUAGGCGGAAUGUAUGGUGUAGCGGUGAAAUGCUUAGAGAUCAUACAGAACACCGAUUGCGAAGGCAGCUUACCAAACUAUAUCUGACGUUGAGGCACGAAAGCGUGGGGAGCAAACAGGAUUAGAUACCCUGGUAGUCCACGCAGUAAACGAUGAUAACUCGUUGUCGGCGAUACACAGUCGGUGACUAAGCGAAAGCGAUAAGUUAUCCACCUGGGGAGUACGUUCGCAAGAAUGAAACUCAAAGGAAUUGACGGGGGCCCGCACAAGCGGAGGAACAUGUGGUUUAAUUCGAUGAUACGCGAGGAACCUUACCCGGGCUUGAAAGUUAGCGACGAUUCUUGAAAGAGGAUUUCCCUUCGGGGCGCGAAACUAGGUGCUGCAUGGUUGUCGUCAGCUCGUGCCGCGAGGUGUCGGGUUAAGUCCCAUAACGAGCGCAACCCCUACCGUUAGUUGCCAUCAGGUGAAGCUGGGCACUCUGGCGGGACUGCCGGUGUAAGCCGAGAGGAAGGUGGGGAUGACGUCAAAUCAGCACGGCCCUUACGUCCGGGGCUACACACGUGUUACAAUGGUAGGUACAGAGGGCAGCUACCCAGCGAUGGGAUGCGAAUCUCGAAAGCCUAUCUCAGUUCGGAUUGGAGGCUGAAACCCGCCUCCAUGAAGUUGGAUUCGCUAGUAAUCGCGCAUCAGCCAUGGCGCGGUGAAUACGUUCCC
RNAcentral lists this ribosomal RNA (1018 nucleotides) under uncultured bacterium. Its description in RNAcentral is "bacterial SSU rRNA". It matches the Rfam family "Bacterial small subunit ribosomal RNA", at positions 355 to 1375 of the family's 1533-position model. The record is from RNAcentral.